AGAUUUGAAAAUGGCCACCUUCGUAGUGCCACAAUCCUGUGGUUGUAGUGAAACUCCAGCUUCAGGAAUUACUCAUGCAAGACCAGAAAGGGCAGCUUUUAGCAUAUGCUUUCUGGCCUCUCUUUUACCAGACAAUUUGUGACUUUAUAACAUUGAGGAUUUGUGAUUACCAAUGGCCAGGUUGCCUUUGGCUUCUUUUCACUUUAGUUGGGAGUGUUGGAUCAUUCAAAAAAUGGAACAUUUUGAUCCCUAAGGCAGACUUUCAGUUUCAGAUGAACAGCAAAAGGGACUCAGCCAUACCUAUGCAUGUAUCCAUCCAUUCUCCUCCAAACUCCCCUCCAAUCCAGGCUGCCAUAUAACACUGAGAGGAGUUCCAUAUGCUAUACAGAGAAUCCCCAGGACAGAGGAGCUUGGCGGACUACAGUCCACGGGGUCACAAAGAGUUGCAUACCAUUGAGCGACUAAGCACAGCACAACACACACCAAGGACUUGGAUCAAGUCUGUAGAGAGACUUUGGCUAUUUGGGUUGUGAGAUUAAAGCAUCACUGGUAAUUGUUUUGUUGUUAUUUAGUCCCUAAAUCGUGCCUGACUCUUUGCAAUCCCAUGGACUAUAUAGCCCACCAGGUUCCUCUCUCCAUGGGAUUUUCCAGACAAGAAUUUACCCAUGUCUUUAUGCCAGUUUGGACAAUAAUGAUGUGUGGGAAGGGUGGCAGAAGUGGUUAGUACAGACUAGGUUAGUUCUGCUUUUCACCAUUUGAUUUCCUGUGCUGCCUCAGGCGUCACUUAACAUCCCUAGCUCUCCAGGGUGUUGUGAGAAAUAAUGAGAUAAUAUUUGCAAAAUGCUUGUAAUCUAUGGGCAAAAAAUCAUGAGGGCAGAAUCCUGGUUUAGUUAUAUGGAUGCAAAUCAUA
This is a long non-coding RNA of Bos taurus (domestic cattle), 910 nucleotides long. Lineage: Eukaryota; Metazoa; Chordata; Mammalia; Artiodactyla; Bovidae. The record is from Ensembl.